This 3232-nucleotide unclassified non-coding RNA is filed under the name Hevea brasiliensis (rubber tree). The record is from RNAcentral. Lineage: Eukaryota; Viridiplantae; Streptophyta; Magnoliopsida; Malpighiales; Euphorbiaceae.
GGGAAAUCAGAUUUUCUGUUUGGAGUUGCAUUAUGGGAGAAUCAAGACAGAAUCACACAAGGUGUUCUCAACAAAUAAAUGGAAAUAAUCUAAAUUCUCUUGCCAUGUUCUUAAUUAUGGUUGCUUGAUUAGAGAAUUUGAACAAAUUUAUUGAUAAAAAUUAACAUUGUUUAAGCUGAACCUGCAUCUUUCUUCUUCACCACUAUAGGACUUCUUACAUUGUGCACCCCAUCUGACCAUACAAGCCCACCGAAUGCAUAAAAGUCGCUUGCAUUUUCCUCAGCCCUUAGUGUUACCUUGAAACUUUUCUCUUCAUUUGUCUUGUUGAAUUUCAAUCUCAUUGGUUCAACCUUAACUGUUAUUCCUUCAGGUGCAUUGAUGUGAGCUGUAUAUAAGCCUGGAGUUCCCACAUUCUUCAAGGUUCGCGUCAAUGUGACUUUCCCAGAGAGAUUAGGGACAGUGAUUGAUGGAUAGUUUAAGUCCAACAAACUACUGUUUUUGGAUGGACAGUUGUAUGGCUUAUCAGCAAAUGCUGACAUUUCGGUUGCAUUAUAGCCAAUGGAGCACAGAAAAUUCAGGUAAUCUUUGGUGGUUAAGUCAUAAACCAAGCCAGGGUCCAUUGCGCGGCUUGGCCGGAUAUGUCCUGAACCAUAGUCAAAUGGGUUUGACUCUUGAAGAAAAUCAGUGGCAAUCGGUUGUCUGACAUUACUCGUAGUUGUUGCUGAAACAUCAUGAACACCGGGCAAGAUUUGUUGUCAGUAUGUGAAAUCAACAGAGAGCAUAAUGGCAUAUAUAGUUAAAAUUGCAGUGACAUAUAUAGUUAAAAUUGCAGUGAGGUUCAUGGACUCCAUGCCUAGAUCUUUCCUGAAAUAGAGGUAAAACAAGGAGAGAAUAAUUAUUAGGAUAUUACCUGUGGUCAUAAUUGCAGACUUAAUUGCAGCAGGACUCCAUUCUGGAUGCAAGCUUUUGAGAAGGCCAGCAAUGCCAGAAACAUGGGGACAGGACAUUGAAGUACCAGAUAUAAUAUUGAAUGGAAGAUGGCGCUUGUCAAAUGAUUGAGAAGUAGGCCCUGAAGCUUCUGUAUAGGCAGCUAAAAUAUCGACUCCAGGAGCAGUGAUAUCAGGCUGAAAUUUUUAGUAAAAAUUUGUUAGGCUGUUUAUCAUGUCUUUAGGAGUAAAAUAAUAACUACUUACAGGCAUAAAGUGCCGAAUCUUUUUUUUUGGUAUAACUGGUUUCAAAUAGGUACUAAAAUUCAAGACCUCAUAGCCUUAGAGAUGAGUACAGUGCCACUAAUAGUGAUUCUAUUUUACAGUUGCUGGUGAUGAUGUGUUACCUUGAGGAUCUCUGGAUUGAUUGCAUUAGGUCCAGAAGAUGAAAAUGAAGCCAUGAUAGGAGCAGCCACAGCUCCAACUUCUGUAGCACCACUAAUAUAAGCUACUGGAUGCCUUGUGCUAUAUAUAUAAGCUAAAAUAGAAAGGCCAUCAGCUGCAGAGACAUGUGCAGUAGGAAGAAAGUGGGCUUGAGGGGAGAUCGUCGCUUGAGGUAACUGAUCAGCGAGGAUCACCCCAACGCCACCAGCCUGAGCAACCACCCAGCUCAUCUCAACACUUGCAUGAAGACAAUACACAAUUUUUCCUUUUACCUUUUCUGGAUCAAGGGAUUCAGGAGAACAGGAUUGUGCGCUGAGAGCAGAGACGUUGGCAGCUUUAGCAUCAACAGAGUAAACCAAGGGAUAAUACUUCCUAGCAGGCAAAGUAUUGGUAUUGAAACUCAGGCCCUUGAAUAGCCUGUUAUUUCCGAGGAUGACAUUUGAUGCAAAAUUCCGAUCAAUUGUGCUAGCUGCAACUGUGAGAAUCCAGGGAGCCACAUUGGAGACACGUCCACCUUGCCCCCCAGAAUUCCCUGCAGAGCAAACUACAAGAAUCCCAUUUUUAACAGCAUGGAAAGACCCCAUUGAAAUUCCAUGACCAAAGUAAUGGCGAGGACGACUUCCAAGUGAAACAGACAAGAUAUCAACCCCAUCCUGAAUUGCAGCGUCGAAGGCAGCCAAUACAUCAGCAUCAUUGCAACCUCGCCAGCAAACCUUGUAGGAAGCAACUCGGGCAUUAGGUGACCCUCCCUUUGCGGUUCCAUUGGCUGAACCCAAGAAAUUAGCUCCUGAAACAAAGCGUCCACCUGCCGUAGCGAGAGUGUGGGUGCCAUGACCAUCAGUAUCUCGCGCAGUGUUGUAGGAUGGAUCAAGGGGCUGGCCUAUAGAAGCUUGGAAGCCCUUGUUGAAGUAUCUUGCACCAAUAAGCUUCCUGUUACAUUUAACUCUAUCAUUUGUAUCACAAUAUCCUUUCCACUUUGAUGGAAUAGGUCCCAUCCCUUCAUCACUGAAGCUUUCUGACUCGGGCCAGACACCAGUGUCAAGAUUUCCAAUAAUUACAUCUUCACCAAAUCUUGCCUUAACCCAGAUAGAGUCCGGUGGAAUUUUUCCAUUUCUCUCUAGUCCAAGAAACUCCCAUGAUCUUGUCGUAUGCAAUUCACUCUCUUCAUUAGGAAAAAUUGAUGCCACUUCUGGCCGCUUUGAGAUUUCAUCAACUUCUUCAUCUUCAAGUGUUGCAGCAAAUCCAUUGAUAUAACUUGAGUAGGAAUAAAAUAUUGCUUCUUUUGCCUUCUCCUUGCUUUUCAUGCAAGAACCCAAUAACUCAUGGUAGGACUCGGUCUUUUUACUGAUAUCCAAUGCAGAAGAAGAUUCAGAUCCAUGAGAAUUCCUCCCCAAAUACACCACAUAAGACUUUUUGGCAGCCUGUGUUGGACUCUGCAAGGAAGAGAAAAGGGAAAAGAGAAGCAAAAGAGAAAUACAUGAAUGGCUACGGAUCCUCAUCUUUCAGCUGAUCCGCUAAAACCCACAAAUUAAUUCACUAUAUAAGAGGACAGCUUGCUCCAUUUUAUAUAUUUAUGACUCUUGUUGAGAAGUCUAAGUUAUGGACAGAUCUAGAAGAAAAUAAUAUUUUAAAUAGAUUGCAGCACACCAACGCCAAGCAAUAUUAAAUCAAUUUCAAUAAUAGUCCAAUUAUGACCUGAUCACACUACUAGACAGGCAAAUCAAGGAGGAGAACAAUUCAUCUUAAUUUGGUUAAAAUAAAGAAUAUGAAAACUCCUCUCUUUAAAAAUUUUCUCUUCAGAAAUUCUCUAAACUUAUAACCAGAUAUAAAAGAGGGAAUGCUUCUUAUUGAUGGCAUUCUUU